This 253-nucleotide ribosomal RNA is filed under the name uncultured bacterium. Its description in RNAcentral is "partial 16S ribosomal RNA". It matches the Rfam family "Bacterial small subunit ribosomal RNA", at positions 524 to 776 of the family's 1533-position model. The record is from RNAcentral.
UACGUAGGUGGCUAGCGUUGUCCGGAAUUAUUGGGCGUAAAGCGCGCGCAGGCGGUCCUUUAAGUCUGGUGUGAAAGCCCACGGCUCAACCGUGGAGGGUCAUUGGAAACUGGGGGACUUGAGUGCAGAAGAGGAGAGUGGAAUUCCACGUGUAGCGGUGAAAUGCGUAGAGAUGUGGAGGAACACCGGUGGCGAAGGCGGCAUCCUGGACCGAGAUUGACGCUGAGGCGCGAAAGCCAGGGGAGCAAACGGG